This 262-nucleotide ribosomal RNA is filed under the name uncultured bacterium. Its description in RNAcentral is "partial 16S ribosomal RNA". It matches the Rfam family "Bacterial small subunit ribosomal RNA", at positions 793 to 1055 of the family's 1533-position model. The record is from RNAcentral.
GUCCACGCCGUAAACGAUGUAUGCUAGGUGUGGGUGGUGUCGAUUCCAUCCGUGCCGAAGCUAACGCAUUAAGCAUCCCGCCUGGGGAGUACGGCCGCAAGGCUAAAACUCAAAGGAAUUGACGGGGACCCCGCACAAGCAGCGGAGCAUGUGGUUUAAUUCGACGCAACGCGAAGAACCUUACCUGGGCUUGACAUGUCGAGGAAACACCUGGAAACAGGUGCCCCUUCGGGUCUCGUCACAGGUGGUGCAUGGCUGUCGU